This 1261-nucleotide ribosomal RNA is filed under the name marine metagenome. RNAcentral describes it as "bacterial LSU rRNA". It matches the Rfam family "Bacterial large subunit ribosomal RNA", at positions 1100 to 2461 of the family's 2925-position model. The record is from RNAcentral.
GUUGGCUUAGAAGCAGCCAUCCUUUAAAGAUAGCGUAACAGCUCACCGGUCUAAUUAAGAGACUUUGCGCCGAAGAUGUAACGGGGCUCAAACUACGUACCGAAGUUGUGGAUUUAAAGUGUCUACGGACAUUUUAUCUGGUAGCGGAACGUUCUGUAAGUCUGUGAAGGGAUACCCGCGAGGGGUCCUGGAGAUAUCAGAAGUGCGAAUGCUGACAUAAGUAGCGACAAACAGAGUGAAAGACUCUGUCGCCGAAAAUACAAGGGUUCCUGCGUAAAGUUAAUCUUCGCAGGGUUAGUCGGCCCCUAAGGCGAGGGCGAAAGCCGUAGUCGAUGGGAACAAGGUAAAUAUUCCUUGACCUGAUGGUAGUGACGGAUCUCGUAUAUUGUAAGUUCUUAUUGGAUUGAACUUGCCUUGAAGAGGUCCCAGGAAAUAACUCCAUCAUUAAGACCGUACCCUAAACGGACACACGUGUAUUGGUAGAGAAUACCUAGGCGCUUGAGAGAAUGAUGUUGAAGGAACUCGGCAACUUGCCUCUGUAACUUCGGGAUAAAGAGGGCCUUAUUUUGCGCAAGCAGAGUAAGGUGGCACAAGCCAGGGAGUAGCGACUGUUUAACAAAAACACAGGACUCUGCUAACACGUAAGUGGAUGUAUAGGGUCUGACGCCUGCCCGGUGCCGGAAGGUUAAAGCAAGAUGUGCAAGCAUCGAACUGAAGCCCCGGUGAACGGCGGCCGUAACUAUAACGGUCCUAAGGUAGCGAAAUUCCUUGUCGGGUAAGUUCCGACCUGCAUGAAUGGCGUAACGAUUUCUCCGCUGUCUCCAACAUCAACUCAGUGAAAUUGAAUUCUCCGUGAAGAUGCGGAGUUCCCGUGGUUAGACGGAAAGACCCCGUGCACCUUUACUACAACUUUACAUUGGUAUUAGAAAUGACAUGUGUAGCAUAGGAGGGAGACUUUGAAGUGGUGGCGCUAGCUAUCAUGGAGUCGUCAGUGAAAUACCUCUCUUGUUAUUUUUGAUAUCUAACUCCAUGCCGUCAUCCGGCUGGAAGACACUGUAUGGUGGGUAGUUUGACUGGGGCGGUCGCCUCCUAAAGAGUAACGGAGGCGUGCGAAGGUAGGCUCAGAUCGGUCAGAAAUCGAUCGUUGAGUGCAAUGGCAUAAGCCUGCCUGACUGCAAGACUGACAAGUCAAGCAGAGUCGAAAGACGGUCAUAGUGAUCCGGUGGUUCUGAGUGGAAGGGCCAUCGCUCAACGGAUAAAA